AUGCAAACUCCCGCUCCGCAGUCACGCAGGAAGGAGAAACUUUCUUCGUCCAGGCUCGCCUCCUUUGGUUUUUUUUACGCCGCAAAAAUCUCCGGAAUCUCUGACCCGAGUGACGUCACUGUGCCUGAACUACACAGUUUUGGAAUGAAUCCACAGCCAAUCUCAGUCCACCAGAGCACCUUUGGGAUGUGCUGGAACAGGAGUUUCGCAUCCUGAUGUGCAGUCAACAAAUGGAACCAAAAUCUCUGGGGAAUGUUUCCAGCAACUUGUUGAAUUCAUGCACAACAACAAAAAAAAAAAAAAAAAAAAAAAAAGUUUAAUCUGAGGGCGAAAGCAAGGCUGAGUCCAACCCAGCCUUGCUUUUCUGGUGUCUGAUAAGUGUAUUUCCUGCAUGGAUUUCAUGGGGUAUGUCAAAGUUGAUCUUAAGUGGGCCAGACCAAAUUGAAUUCUAUUUUCUGUCAGCACAAAGAAGUUUAACCACACAUUAAAUCCUUAAGAUAUCAUUGUAUUAAAAAAAACCCCCAAAAAACCCAAGUAUAAUUCCAACAGUACGUCUCAUUUUUUCUACAUGAUAAAGAAAUGUUACUGUAACAAAGAUAGAAAUCUGUCAGAAUGACUCUCAGGGCUUAAACUGUAAGAAAUAAAUAUGUAAUAAAUAUAUUUAUGUAAUAAAUAAAAUUUCCUACUGAAAAAUGAUGGUAGCUUAUUGGCCAGGCUGUCCUACAAUACUAAAAUAAGGUUUUUGUUUAUUUUAUUUUUUUAAACUGUUGAGCCAAAAAGUUCUCAUAUUCUCUUAAUUUAAUGUUCAUCUAUUACUUCAUUACCUUAGGAUAGCAUGAAUGGCAUGGAGGAAAAGCUGUAAAACCUAUGAAAAUACACUGAGAAGCACAAAAUCCAUGUUCCCCUUCACAUUUUUCAGUGGGCCAGAUCGUCUUAAGCAGGCCGAUUUUGACCCCAGAGCUUUCUGUUUGACAAAAAUAACAUAACUUUUAAAAAGCCUUUUUUGAAACUUUCCUUUGAAGCUCACAUAUUUAGUACACAGUUAACCUUCAAGGACACCGCAGAUUCAACAAACUGCAAACUAUUCAUCCCGAUAAUUGCUGUCAUCAGAAGAAUCUGAGGUACGAGAGUGAGAGUACAGAAACAACAGUGCAUUUAAGAAAUCACAACUGCUUUAUUUAUUUUCUCUCAAUAAGCUCUUUUUCUUUAACAAGGGAGAGUAAUGACCAAAUACCUGAAAGGAUAAAGGUCAGAGAGGAUAAAUAGAAUGCUGGAUCAGCUGUAGAAAGCACUGGUCCUCUGUGAAAAAACUGAAAUAUGCAUCUUAAAAGUAAAAAAAAACCCAAAAAAACCUCAAAAUGGGCAACAUUGCGGUGCAGGUACAAUGAUGAGAAGCGCCAAGAUCCUUCCCAGAAAGGGGUAAGAGGCCAAAAAAAAACAAAAACAAAACAAAAAAAAAACCCCACACUCCAAGCCCGAUAAACCUAACAGGUGAAAGCAGUCCGUUCUGAGAACACGGUGACCUUUUUUUUUUCUUUUUUUUUUUUUUAACAUCGAAUCCUUUAUAGUGCCACAAUAUCUAAAAUGAAAUGUAAGUUUAAGCCUCCCUUUGCUCACAAGGCUCAACUGUACAGUUAAGUAUGCGUAUACACAUAUAGCAGUGAAACACUGUCGUAAAGAUAAACAUUUGUAGUGUCAUGGAGCAUUAUAGUAAGUAGUAACAGUUAUGGCAGGGGCGUCGUGAGUUUCAAAGUGAGCGCCCGUUACAAAAACAGAAGACGAACAAAAAUAAAUGAUUCCAUCAGCUUCACAUUUUCAAACAGAACACACUUUUUUUGUUUUUUGUUUUUUUAAAGUCCUUCGUAGUCUGCUGGAACUGCUGUGCUUGCACAAAAAAAAACAAAAAAAAAAAAACACUGGGUGGAUUUGAGUUUAACAAGCAAACGCUCCUCGUUCGUGAUAAUAAGCUUCUAACGGAGGAAAAAAAUUAAUUGGACCCUGAUUGUGAUUAUAGUUAGGCUGCAUUUAUUGCUAGUGCCACCUCAGAAACCAGAUUUUGAAUUAUCAAAUAGUGAUGAGAUUUUUUUUUUUUUCAAUAACUCCCCUCACUAAUUUUGAAAUGGGAUCUGAACAAUAUGAAAGUCUUUCAGGAGCCCUAAAGAAAAA
Molecule: long non-coding RNA, 2166 nt
Organism: Oreochromis aureus
Lineage: Eukaryota; Metazoa; Chordata; Actinopteri; Cichliformes; Cichlidae
Exons: 2
Source: RefSeq, a predicted model, not a curated record